UACGUAGGGGGCAAGCGUUAUCCGGAUUUAUUGGGCGUAAAGGGAACGCAGGCGGUCUUUUAAGUCUGAUGUGAAAGCCUUCGGCUUAACCGGAGUAGUGCAUUGGAAACUGGGAGACUUGAGUGCAGAAGAGGAGAGUGGAACUCCAUGUGUAGCGGUGAAAUGCGUAGAUAUAUGGAAGAACACCAGUGGCGAAAGUGGCUCUCUGGUCUGUAACUGACGCUGAGGUUCGAAAGCGUGGGUAGCAAACAGG
This 253-nucleotide ribosomal RNA is filed under the name uncultured bacterium. Its description in RNAcentral is "partial 16S ribosomal RNA". It matches the Rfam family "Bacterial small subunit ribosomal RNA", at positions 524 to 776 of the family's 1533-position model. The record is from RNAcentral.